RNAcentral lists this unclassified non-coding RNA (19 nucleotides) under Chlamydomonas reinhardtii. Its description in RNAcentral is "small RNA Cre_4019". The record is from RNAcentral. Lineage: Eukaryota; Viridiplantae; Chlorophyta; Chlorophyceae; Chlamydomonadales; Chlamydomonadaceae.
UUGGGUUAGAUAAGACAUA